UCUGCACAUUGUUAGAUCUUGGAGUGACGUCGCUGGCUAGCUGAUGAACUUGCAAGUGUAGAUACUAUGCUAUAUGAGGGGCCAGUCUUUUGCAACAGCACAAGGGUCUCUGGCCCAAUGAGUGGAGUUUGAUAGUAAUGUUUGCGCUAAGU
Hyaena hyaena (striped hyena) is the source of this 152-nucleotide small nucleolar RNA. The record is from RefSeq and is a predicted model, not a curated record. NCBI's taxonomy places the organism in Eukaryota, Metazoa, Chordata, Mammalia, Carnivora, Hyaenidae.